AUGGAGAAGUUCACCUUCGAUGAUGUUAGCCGUAUUGCUUCCCCCACACAUGAGCCUGAGAUGGAGAGCUUCAUGGUUGAGUAUGGUGAGGUGGAUUCAGAUGUCAAGGAGCCAAGCUCUACUAUUUCACUUGUUGACACGAGUCCGGUUGAAAUUUCUACUACCACACCUCACUUGGUAUCUUCAAUUGAGGUAGUUCUGAAGCUUCUUCCUAACUAUCUCAGGUUUUUGCUUGUGCACGAUCCGUUACAUGCUAACCAGGUUCGAGGUGACAUUCCUUGGGACCCUGGUGGACUCAGAGCAUGGGGAUGA
RNAcentral lists this ribosomal RNA (312 nucleotides) under Triticum aestivum (bread wheat). Its description in RNAcentral is "partial small subunit ribosomal RNA". Lineage: Eukaryota; Viridiplantae; Streptophyta; Magnoliopsida; Poales; Poaceae. The record is from RNAcentral.